AUACGUAGGGGGCAAGCGUUAUCCGGAUUUACUGGGUGUAAAGGGAGCGUAGACGGAAGGCCAAGUCUGAUGUGAAAGCCCGCGGCUCAACUGCGGGACUGCAUUGGAAACUGGUCAUCUGGAGUGCAGGAGGGGUAAGCGGAAUUCCUAGUGUAGCGGUGAAAUGCGUAGAUAUUAGGAGGAACACCGGUGGCGAAGGCGGAUUACUGGACUGUAACGGACGUUGAGGCUCGAAAGCGUGGGGAGCAAACAGGAUUAGAUCCCCUGGUAGUCCACGCCGUAAACGAUGAAUACUAGGUGUCGGGUUUCUAUAGAGAUUCGGUGCCGCAGCAAACGCAAUAAGUAUUCCACCUGGGGAGUACGUUCGCAAGAAUGAAACUCAAAGGAAUUGACGGGG
RNAcentral lists this ribosomal RNA (397 nucleotides) under uncultured bacterium. Its description in RNAcentral is "partial 16S ribosomal RNA". It matches the Rfam family "Bacterial small subunit ribosomal RNA", at positions 523 to 918 of the family's 1533-position model. The record is from RNAcentral.